Molecule: transfer RNA, 75 nt
Filed under: Alosa alosa (allis shad)
Lineage: Eukaryota; Metazoa; Chordata; Actinopteri; Clupeiformes; Clupeidae
Description: tRNA-OTHER
Rfam family: tRNA
About the family: Transfer RNA (tRNA) molecules are approximately 80 nucleotides in length. Their secondary structure includes four short double-helical elements and three loops (D, anti-codon, and T loops).
Source: RNAcentral
GUAGUCGUGGCCGAGUGGUUAAGGCUAGAAAUCCAUUGGGGUCUCCACGCGCAGGUUCGAAUCCUGCCGACUACG